This 1344-nucleotide long non-coding RNA is filed under the name Canis lupus familiaris (dog). Its description in RNAcentral is "lncRNA (ENSCAFG00030008459.1)". The record is from RNAcentral. Lineage: Eukaryota; Metazoa; Chordata; Mammalia; Carnivora; Canidae.
AGGUCGACUCAACCCCAUAUCCAGCACAUUACAGGCUAUACCCUGCCCUGCUGGAUUGUGGGUAAGCUCCCUGGAUUACAAUGGCAGCUGCUGGGUUCUUGCUGCUGUGAUUCAUCUGUUUGGUCUUGUUUGCCUUGGAUUUCAGCCACCCGUGUUUCAGAAGGUGCUGAGCUGGCCACUGUUCUUGGCCUCAGAACACAGAGCAAGAUAGUGGGAAGGCAGAGGGAGAGGAAGAGAGAAUUUCAAGAAGACUCCCCACUGAGCACAGAGCCCAACUUGGGGCCCUAUCUACAACCCUGAGAUCAUGACCUGAGCCAAAAUCAAAAGUCAGAUACUUAACCGACUGAGCCACCCAGACGCUCUCCUCUUAAUUCUUACAAUGACCCUAUGAUGUAUAAGAGUUUUCAGUCCAAUUAAAAAAAUAUUACCCCCAAAUCCCAUGGCUGGUAAGUCGCAGAGCUUGGAUUCAAAUCCAAGUUCAGUGCUUUCCCCCUUAUUUUAAUGGCUAUUUUGAAUAUUAUUCAAUAAAGGUUAUCUUCACUCUUUAUGCUUAAAAUAUGUGCUGCAUUCUUAAGUGUGUUUCUGAUUAUAUUUCAGGGCCAAAUUAUUUCCAUAGAAAUGUACCUCUAAUUUUAUAAUGAUAUCAGUGGGGAAAUAAAAGAGGCAGUAUGGAAUUUUGCUCUACUGCCAACUCCAUGGGAGGGAUAAAAAAAUUAUAAGCCUAGAACUUGAAGAUGGGAAAAAGUUAGCAAUGUCAUAGCACUAUUGUUAUCAAAGUAAGAUAUGGAAAAGUAGAAAAGCACCUUUAUUUCUAAGGAGAUUUCCAAGGACCCUGAACUUUAUCACCAUACAGUUCAUUGUAAAGUGGAGGCAAUAUAAGACAGGCAACACCCUGUAUCUACAAAAGACUCUCAUUCAUGACUCAAGUCCCAGGGAUAUUGUUAUAAGUGACCUAACUUACAAAGAAAGCACAAUGAGAUUUUAUGAUGAGGAUCUUAUGUCUUUUUUACACAUUCGGUUAUAAAAUAAAGAAACAAUUCAGGUCAUUGUACCCAGUAUUAGACUAAAGGGGUCAGCAACACAUAGUAGGCUGUGUAGCCACGUACAACAACCUUGCACCACUGUUCAGGGCAGGAAGCAAGGAUAAAUUAUGCUGAUAGGUUAUGAAGUGGUAACAUUAUUUGUGCCUUUUCUUUUGGCCAUGGCGCUCAAGUUCCCUAUUACCCGCUCCUUUGAAACAAUUCUACUGAAAAAUGCAAAAUAGCUCAGUCCAUUCAUUUUCCUUAAGUUCCCUUAAAAUAAAACACCAAAGCUGUAAUUUGCUAAUCAUAUUUCAUCAUUCCU